UACACCCACUAUCCGCCCGGGAACUACGAGCAAAAGCUUAAAACCCAAAGGACUUGGCGGUGCUUUAGAUCCACCUAGAGGAGCCUGUUCUAGAACCGAUAACCCCCGUUCAACCUCACCUUUCCUUGUUUUUCCCGCCUAUAUACCGCCGUCGUCAGCUUACCCUCUGAAGGUCUAAUAGUAAGCAAGACUGGUACAACCUAAAACGUCAGGUCGAGGUGUAGCGUAUGGAAGGGGAAGAAAUGGGCUACAUUCGCUACUACAGCGAAUACGGAGGGUGUACUGAAACGUACACCUGAAGGAGGAUUUAGCAGUAAGCAGGAAAUAGAGCGUCCCGCUGAAAUCGGCCCUGAAGCGCGCACACACCGCCCGUCACUCUCCCCGAAAACACCCACUCAGUUAAUUAAAACCUAAUAAUUAUAGAGGGGAGGCAAGUCGUAACAUGGUAAGUGUACCGGAAGGUGCACUUGGAAAAAU
This 477-nucleotide ribosomal RNA is filed under the name Hexagrammos octogrammus (masked greenling). RNAcentral describes it as "partial 12S rRNA". It matches the Rfam family "Bacterial small subunit ribosomal RNA", at positions 856 to 1533 of the family's 1533-position model. Lineage: Eukaryota; Metazoa; Chordata; Actinopteri; Perciformes; Hexagrammidae. The record is from RNAcentral.